GGGGCGGUAGCUUAGUUGGUAGAGCGCUGGCUUUGCAAGCCGGAGGUCCGGGGUUCGAAUCCCCGCCGCUCCA
RNAcentral lists this transfer RNA (73 nucleotides) under Herpetosiphonaceae bacterium. Its description in RNAcentral is "tRNA-Ala". It matches the Rfam family "tRNA". Rfam says of the family: Transfer RNA (tRNA) molecules are approximately 80 nucleotides in length. The record is from RNAcentral. Lineage: Bacteria; Bacillati; Chloroflexota; Chloroflexia; Herpetosiphonales; Herpetosiphonaceae.